Molecule: ribosomal RNA, 325 nt
Filed under: uncultured eukaryote
Lineage: Eukaryota
Description: partial 18S ribosomal RNA
Rfam family: Eukaryotic small subunit ribosomal RNA
Source: RNAcentral
CCCUUAGAUGUUCUGGGCCGCACGCGCGCUACACUGAUGCAUUCAACGAGCCUAUCCUUGACCGACAGGUCCGGGUAAUCUUUGAAUCUGCAUCGUGACGGGGAUAGAUUAUUGCAAUUAUUAAUCUUCAACGAGGAAUGUCUAGUAGGCGCAAGUCAUCAGCUUGCGUCGAUUACGUCCCUGCCCUUUGUACACACCGCCCGUCGCUCCUACCGAUUGGGUGUGCUGGUGAAAUGUUCGGAUCGGCCGUUUGUCGCGGUUUCCGCGUCAUGUGGCUGAGAAGUUCAUUAAACCCUCCCACCUAGAGGAAGGAGAAGUCGUAACA